This 2891-nucleotide ribosomal RNA is filed under the name Pseudomonas amygdali pv. lachrymans. Its description in RNAcentral is "bacterial LSU rRNA". It matches the Rfam family "Bacterial large subunit ribosomal RNA". The record is from RNAcentral. Lineage: Bacteria; Pseudomonadati; Pseudomonadota; Gammaproteobacteria; Pseudomonadales; Pseudomonadaceae.
UCAAGUGAAGAAGCGCAUACGGUGGAUGCCUUGGCAGUCAGAGGCGAUGAAAGACGUGGUAGCCUGCGAAAAGCUUCGGGGAGUCGGCAAACAGACUGUGAUCCGGAGAUGUCUGAAUGGGGGAACCCAGCCAUCAUAAGAUGGUUAUCUUGUACUGAAUACAUAGGUGCAAGAGGCGAACCAGGGGAACUGAAACAUCUAAGUACCCUGAGGAAAAGAAAUCAACCGAGAUUCCCUUAGUAGUGGCGAGCGAACGGGGACCAGCCCUUAAGUUGUAUUGAGAUUAGCGGAACGUUCUGGAAAGGACGGCCAUAGUGGGUGAUAGCCCUGUACGCGAAAAUCCCUUUGUAAUGAAAUCGAGUAGGACGGGGCACGAGAAACCUUGUCUGAAUAUGGGGGGACCAUCCUCCAAGGCUAAAUACUACUGACUGACCGAUAGUGAACCAGUACCGUGAGGGAAAGGCGAAAAGAACCGCGGAGAGCGGAGUGAAAUAGAUCCUGAAACCGUAUGCGUACAAGCAGUGGGAGCCCACUUUGUUGGGUGACUGCGUACCUUUUGUAUAAUGGGUCAGCGACUUAUUUUCAGUGGCGAGCUUAACCGAAUAGGGGAGGCGUAGCGAAAGCGAGUCUUAAUAGGGCGUCUAGUCGCUGGGAAUAGACCCGAAACCGGGCGAUCUAUCCAUGGGCAGGUUGAAGGUUGGGUAACACUAACUGGAGGACCGAACCGACUACCGUUGAAAAGUUAGCGGAUGACCUGUGGAUCGGAGUGAAAGGCUAAUCAAGCUCGGAGAUAGCUGGUUCUCCUCGAAAGCUAUUUAGGUAGCGCCUCAUGUAUCACUGUAGGGGGUAGAGCACUGUUUCGGCUAGGGGGUCAUCCCGACUUACCAAACCGAUGCAAACUCCGAAUACCUACAAGUGCCGAGCAUGGGAGACACACGGCGGGUGCUAACGUCCGUCGUGAAAAGGGAAACAACCCAGACCGUCAGCUAAGGUCCCAAAGUCAUGGUUAAGUGGGAAACGAUGUGGGAAGGCUUAGACAGCUAGGAGGUUGGCUUAGAAGCAGCCACCCUUUAAAGAAAGCGUAAUAGCUCACUAGUCGAGUCGGCCUGCGCGGAAGAUGUAACGGGGCUCAAACCAUGCACCGAAGCUACGGGUAUCAUCUUAUGAUGAUGCGGUAGAGGAGCGUUCUGUAAGCCUGUGAAGGUGAGUUGAGAAGCUUGCUGGAGGUAUCAGAAGUGCGAAUGCUGACAUGAGUAACGACAAUGGGUGUGAAAAACACCCACGCCGAAAGACCAAGGUUUCCUGCGCAACGUUAAUCGACGCAGGGUUAGUCGGUCCCUAAGGCGAGGCUGAAAAGCGUAGUCGAUGGAAAACAGGUUAAUAUUCCUGUACUUCUGGUUAUUGCGAUGGAGGGACGGAGAAGGCUAGGCCAGCCUGGCGUUGGUUGUCCAGGUUUAAGGUGGUAGGCUGAGAUCUUAGGUAAAUCCGGGAUCUCAAGGCCGAGAGCUGAUGACGAGUGUUCUUUAGAACACGAAGUGGUUGAUGCCAUGCUUCCAAGAAAAGCUUCUAAGCUUCAGGUAACCAGGAACCGUACCCCAAACCGACACAGGUGGUUGGGUAGAGAAUACCAAGGCGCUUGAGAGAACUCGGGUGAAGGAACUAGGCAAAAUGGCACCGUAACUUCGGGAGAAGGUGCGCCGGUGAGGGUGAAGCAUUUACUGCGUAAGCCCACGCCGGUCGAAGAUACCAGGCCGCUGCGACUGUUUAUUAAAAACACAGCACUCUGCAAACACGAAAGUGGACGUAUAGGGUGUGACGCCUGCCCGGUGCCGGAAGGUUAAUUGAUGGGGUUAGCGCAAGCGAAGCUCUUGAUCGAAGCCCCGGUAAACGGCGGCCGUAACUAUAACGGUCCUAAGGUAGCGAAAUUCCUUGUCGGGUAAGUUCCGACCUGCACGAAUGGCGUAACGAUGGCGGCGCUGUCUCCACCCGAGACUCAGUGAAAUUGAAAUCGCUGUGAAGAUGCAGUGUAUCCGCGGCUAGACGGAAAGACCCCGUGAACCUUUACUAUAGCUUUGCACUGGACUUUGAAUUUGCUUGUGUAGGAUAGGUGGGAGGCUUUGAAGCGUGGACGCCAGUCUGCGUGGAGCCAACCUUGAAAUACCACCCUGGCAACUUUGAGGUUCUAACUCAGGUCCGUUAUCCGGAUCGAGGACAGUGUAUGGUGGGUAGUUUGACUGGGGCGGUCUCCUCCUAAAGAGUAACGGAGGAGUACGAAGGUGCGCUCAGACCGGUCGGAAAUCGGUCGUAGAGUAUAAAGGCAAAAGCGCGCUUGACUGCGAGACAGACACGUCGAACAGGUACGAAAGUAGGUCUUAGUGAUCCGGUGGUUCUGUAUGGAAGGGCCAUCGCUCAACGGAUAAAAGGUACUCCGGGGAUAACAGGCUGAUACCGCCCAAGAGUUCAUAUCGACGGCGGUGUUUGGCACCUCGAUGUCGGCUCAUCACAUCCUGGGGCUGAAGCCGGUCCCAAGGGUAUGGCUGUUCGCCAUUUAAAGUGGUACGCGAGCUGGGUUUAGAACGUCGUGAGACAGUUCGGUCCCUAUCUGCCGUGGACGUUUGAGAUUUGAGAGGGGCUGCUCCUAGUACGAGAGGACCGGAGUGGACGAACCUCUGGUGUUCCGGUUGUCACGCCAGUGGCAUUGCCGGGUAGCUAUGUUCGGAAAAGAUAACCGCUGAAAGCAUCUAAGCGGGAAACUUGCCUCAAGAUGAGAUCUCACUGGAACCUUGAGUUCCCUAAAGGGCCGUCGAAGACUACGACGUUGAUAGGUUGGGUGUGUAAGCGCUGUGAGGCGUUGAGCUAACCAAUACUAAUUGCCCGUGAGGCUUGACCAU